UGGUGGAUUGAUUUGUCUGGUUUAUUCCGUUAACGAACGAGACCUCGACCUGCUAAAUAGUGUGGUUCAUCCUUUCGGGUGGGUCCAAACUUCUUAGAGGGACUUGUGGUGUGUAGCCACAGGAAGUUCGAGGCAAUAACA
Molecule: ribosomal RNA, 141 nt
Filed under: uncultured eukaryote
Lineage: Eukaryota
Description: partial 18S ribosomal RNA
Rfam family: Eukaryotic small subunit ribosomal RNA
Source: RNAcentral